Molecule: ribosomal RNA, 408 nt
Filed under: uncultured bacterium
Lineage: Bacteria
Description: partial 16S ribosomal RNA
Rfam family: Bacterial small subunit ribosomal RNA
Source: RNAcentral
GACGAACGCUGGCGGCGUGCUUAACACAUGCAAGUCGAACGAAGUGGCGAACGGGUGAGUCAUACGUGGGUAACCUGCCCUCCUUUUUGGGAUACGCCUUGGAACCGGGGUCUAAUACCCAAUCACGGGGGAUUGGCUCGCGGCCUUUCAGCGUGUUGGUGGGGUGAUGGCCUACCAAGGCGGUGACGGCUGUCCGGCCUGGGAGGGUGACUGGCACCAUGGGGAUGGAGAUACGGCCCAGACUGCUACGGGAGGCAGCAGUGGGGGAUAGGGCACAAUGGGCGAAAGCCUGAUGCAGGGACGCCGCGUGGGUGAUGAAGGCUUUCGGGUUGUAAACCUGGUGCGCUGUGGAGCGGGUAGGUGGAGAAGAAGCGCCGGCUAACUACGUGCCAGCAGCCGCGGUAAUUC